RNAcentral lists this long non-coding RNA (394 nucleotides) under Equus caballus (horse). Its description in RNAcentral is "lncRNA (ENSECAG00000054756.1)". Lineage: Eukaryota; Metazoa; Chordata; Mammalia; Perissodactyla; Equidae. The record is from RNAcentral.
AACAGCUCCAAAUAGCCUGGUGUCCUAUUUUUCCUCAGGGGAUGGAUACCUUAGCCACCUUCCCUGGCCUGGAAUGCAAAGAAUGCCACUUCAUUUGAGUGAAUAGAGAAUUCUUGGUAAAGGAAAACAAUCCGUCUCUCUCCGUCCCUCUUUCUCUCUCAUAAAUCAUAAAUCACAGACAAGAUGGAGGUCUUUCUGACAAUACCUAGAGAAAAAAAAAAGUCGUCUUUUAGAAUCACCCAAGCACAGGCCUGGCAGUGGAGUGUCUACCUCCAGGGCCCACAGACGACCUCCCACAACCAAGCUGACGGUGAGCCUGACCUUGAGAUCCCGCACAAGGAAGAGUGGCCCUGAGCUAACAUCUGUGCCCAUCUGCCCCUAUUUUAUAUGUGGG